This is a small nuclear RNA of Cricetulus griseus (Chinese hamster), 105 nucleotides long. Lineage: Eukaryota; Metazoa; Chordata; Mammalia; Rodentia; Cricetidae. The record is from Ensembl.
GUGCUAGCUUGGACAGCACAAAGUGAAACUGGAUGGACACAGAGAAUAUUAGUAUGGCCAUGUGAAAGGAUAACUAAGUCAAUCUGUGAGACAUUCCAUAUUUUU